Molecule: long non-coding RNA, 1022 nt
Organism: Prunus dulcis (almond)
Lineage: Eukaryota; Viridiplantae; Streptophyta; Magnoliopsida; Rosales; Rosaceae
Exons: 3
Source: RefSeq, a predicted model, not a curated record
UUUUAAUUGUUGCAGCUUCCUUCAUCAUUUCAUGACUGGAAUUAAGUAUUACUUUUCAGCCUUCUUGGGAUUUUUUAGAGGUUUCUUAAAAAUAAAAAAUAAAAAUCUGAAAAGAACGGUUUAUCUUCAAGGGAUUAUUUGAUUAACUUAUUAUUUUUUUUUUUUACAAAUAGUUACAAGUAGAACAUGAUUAGUCUGUCAUCAUCAACUCAUAAACACUCCCAUCAUCUUGUAAAUUUUGUGUUGUCUUCACAAUCACAGUCAGUUUCUCAAUGGAUACCUUCAUUCUAUCCUAACUCUUCCUUUUGAAGAUAAGUAUUUCCAAUCCAUUGAAUUAUUUAUCUUUUCAUGCGUAACAUUGUUUAUUGAUGAUGCAUGCUGUCCUUGGUUUCAGUCUCCUUGCUAAGUUCUCAUAAACAGAUUAUCAGCGCAAGAUACUUUUCCAUUUAUUGUUGGGAUGCUAGUUAUUGGCAUUGUGUGACAAAAAAACUAUCGAAAACUGAAUGAUGACAACAAGGGAAUCAUUCUUCAACUAAUAUGUUCAAUGUCUUUCGAAAAAAGCAUGUCAUCUUCAAAAACACUGCUAAAACAUCGGAGGGACAGAGACGGCUUCCAUGGACUAUAUACAGCUGUGUCUUUUCUGGUAUCUUGAUUCAAAAUUCAGCAUUCGGGAUCAACUCGCCGGUAACAUGAUCAGUUCGCGUCCUCUACCGACUGGCAUGGAUAAUCCACUACCAUGGUUUGCAUACUUAUGCACCCAAAAACCUUCUGUUAGAAAGACAUGAAAGGUUUUUUGAAUAUCAAACCAGGGUAAAUAAAGAGUUAAAAGUAUAUAUAUUUAGGGAGAAGAAUAGUAAAAGCAUGAUCUUUAUAGUUCAUGUCUAUCCUCAACUGAUGGUCAGAGUUUGUGGAUCUUAUGAUAUGGCCAGUAAAACAAAUCUUUAAAUCUAUCUAAUUUAAGGUUUUCCUUUUUUGGGAUUUUCUCUGCUAUAUAUUAUUUCUUGAGCAAAUCCCGGGCUGUA